RNAcentral lists this ribosomal RNA (423 nucleotides) under uncultured bacterium. Its description in RNAcentral is "bacterial SSU rRNA". It matches the Rfam family "Bacterial small subunit ribosomal RNA", at positions 358 to 773 of the family's 1533-position model. The record is from RNAcentral.
GGAAUAUUGGACAAUGGGGGCAACCCUGAUCCAGCGAUGCCGCGUGUGUGAAGAAGGCCUGCGGGUUGUAAAGCACUUUCAGUGGGGAGGAGGUUUUAGAGGUUAAGAGCCACUAGGAUGGACGUUACCCACAGAAGAAGCACCGGCUAACUCCGUGCCAGCAGCCGCGGUAGUACGGAGGGUGCAAGCGUUAAUCGGAAUUACUGGGCGUAAAGGGUGUGUAGACGGUUUGAUAAGUUAAGUGUGAAAGACCUGGGCUUAACCUGGGGUUGUCACUUAAGACUGUUAGACUAGAGUAUGGGAGAGGGUAGUGGAAUUUCCGGUGUAGCGGUGAAAUGCGUAGAGAUCGGAAGGAACACCAGUGGCGAAGGCGGCUACCUGGCCCAAUACUGACGUUGAGGCACGAAAGCGUGGGGAGCAAAC